Non-coding RNA from Pelobates cultripes (western spadefoot toad), 406 nucleotides. The record is from the annotation of a GenBank genome assembly. Lineage: Eukaryota; Metazoa; Chordata; Amphibia; Anura; Pelobatidae.
GUUUAAUUGAUAUGCUUUACUAAAGAAGUACGUUUUCAAAGGUUUAUUUGAAGGAGUGGAGAUUGCGUGAAAGUCUAACAGAGAUGGGAAGGGCGUUCCAUAGGAAUGCUGCAGCCCUAGAGAAGUCUUUAACCCAUUAAGGACACAAGACAUGUGUGACACAUGACAUUACAGAAGUUUGGUCCUUAAGGGGUUAAGGUGAGCAUCAGAGGUAGGAGUAUGAAUGGAGGAUAGGCGUAGGUUUCCGGCAGAGCGUAGGGGCCUAGACCGGGAAAUAUUUGUGUAAUAGUGAGGAAAAGUAGGUCAGAGCAGCAUUGUGUAGAGAUUUGUAAGCAAGUAUCAGGAUCUUAAAUUGAGACGUAUAUCUUACGGGAAGCCAAUGUAGGGACUGUCAAAGUGGAGGAGG